ACAUGCCCACAACAUAGUUUUAAUGCAUUGGAUCCCAUUAGAACUCUGUAGUUAAGCACGCUCAGGCUAGAGUAGUACUGGAAUGGGUGACUGUCUGGGAAGUCCUAGUGUUUUACAUGCC
This is a non-coding RNA of Picea glauca (white spruce), 121 nucleotides long. Lineage: Eukaryota; Viridiplantae; Streptophyta; Pinopsida; Pinales; Pinaceae. The record is from Rfam.